UGUUUAUUAACUACAAACCGUGAGGUACUUGCCAACUCUGACCAUAAAAUGUUCUAUUCUGAGGCUGUCUCUCUGUUUCUGAGGAGAAUAAGAAGUCAAAUGUCUUGAAAAUAACCAAUCCCAUCCUGAGAAAACCUUCUAGUUACUUUCUCUCCUCGGAUUUUGUUUUUUUAAUUAAAACAAGCUAAAGUGAAAUAAAUAAAACAAAAUGAUCUGUAAUGGUGGAGGCAAGUGGAAUGAAAGUACAUUUUCCAUUCAAAACAAUGUACACAUGAAUGUUUAAAUUCAUCAGCCUUUCACUGUGUAAUAAUGUGACAUGUUUACAGUGUUGAAGGAAAUCAGGUGUUUUCAUGCUAAAUGAAAAUAAAAUUUAUGUACUGUUAUUACCAUA
RNAcentral lists this long non-coding RNA (391 nucleotides) under Homo sapiens (human). RNAcentral describes it as "novel transcript". The record is from RNAcentral. Lineage: Eukaryota; Metazoa; Chordata; Mammalia; Primates; Hominidae.